This is a non-coding RNA of Picea glauca (white spruce), 1789 nucleotides long. NCBI's taxonomy places the organism in Eukaryota, Viridiplantae, Streptophyta, Pinopsida, Pinales, Pinaceae. The record is from Rfam.
GUUCAAAUGAGGAAGGGCUUACGGUGGAUACCUAGGCACCCAGAGACGAGGAAGGGCGUGGUAAGCGACGAAAUGCUUCGGGGAGUUGAAAAUGAGCAUAGAUCCAGAGAUUCCCGAAUAGGUUAACCUUUUUAACUGUUGCUUAAUCCAUGGGUAGGCAAGAGACAACCUGGAGAACUGAAACAUCUUAGUAGCCAUAGGAAUAGAAGGCAAAAGAGAUUCUCGUAGUAGUGGCGAGAAAAAUGGGAGCAGCCUAAACCAUGAAAAUGGGGUUGUGGGAGAGCACAAUAUAAGCUCUGUGCUGCUAGGCAAAGCGGUUGAGUCCUGCACUCUAGAUGGUGAGAGUCCAGUAGCCAAAAGAAUCAUUGGGUUACGCUCUAACUCGAGUAGCAUGGGGCGCAUGGAAUCUUGUGUGAAUCAGUAAGGACCACCUUGCAAGGAUAAAUACUCUUGGGUGACCGAUAACGAAGUAGUACGAUGAGGGAAAGGUGAAAAUAACCCCCAUCGGGGAGUGAAAUAGAACAUGAAACUGUAAGCUCCCAAGAAGUGGGAGGAAAAUGAUAUCUCUGACUGCAUGCCUAUUGAAGAAUGAGCCGACAACUUAUAGGCAGUGGCUUGGUUAAGGGAACCCACCGGAGUCGUAGUGAGAGCGAGUCUUCAUGGGGCAAUUAUCACUGCUUAUGGACCCAAACCCGGGUGAUCUAUCCAUGAACAGGAUGAAUCUUGGGUGAAACUAAGUGGAGGUCUGAACCGACUGAUGUUGAAAAAUCAGCGGAUGAGUCGUGGUUAGGGUGAAAUGCCACUUGAACCCAGAGCUAGCUGGUUCUCCCUGAAAUGCAUUGAGGUGAAGUAGUUGUCUGGACCAUCUAGGGGUAAAGCACUGUUUUGGUAUGGGUCGUGAGAGCAGUACCAAAUCGAGGCAAACUCUAGAUACUAGAUUUCCCCAAUAAAAGGGGUAAAGGUAAGCCAUUGACGAUGGGGGAUAAGCUUCAUCGUCCAGAGGGAAACAACCCAUAUCAUCAGCUAAGGCCCCUAAAUGACCACUCAGUGAUGAAGGAAGUAUGAGUGCAAAGAUAGCCAAGAGCUUUGCCUAGAAGCAGCCAACCUUGAAAGAGUGUGUAAUAGCUCACUGAUUGAGCGCUCUUGCGCCAAAUAUGAAUGGGACUAAGCGAUCUGCUGAAAUUGUGGGAUGUAAAAAUACAUUGGUAGGGGAGCAUUCAUCCUUAGAGGGAAGCACCAGCGUGAGCAGGUGUGGAUGAAGCGGAAGUGAGAAUGUCGGCUUGAGUAAUGCAAACAUUGGUGAGAAUCCAAUGCCCCAAAAACCUAAGGGUUCCUCUGCAAGGUUCGUCCACGGAGGGUGAGUCAGGGCCUAAGAUCAGGCCGAAAGGUGUAGUUGAUGGACAACAAGUUAAUAUUCCUGUAAUACCCCUUGUUGGUCCCGAGGGAUGAAGGAGUCUAGGUUAGCCGAAAGAUGGUUAUCGGUUCAAGGACGCAAGGUGACCCUCUAUACAUUGAUUCAAAGGUAAAAUAAGAAUAAAAUAUAGGUGUGUACAAGGUGAUUUUGGGGGUGGAUAUUCCUCAUCAUCUACUCUAGCACACAAAAAUCCAAGAUGGCUUAUCCAAACAUUAUAGGAUGCACAAAAUCAUGUAGGAGCGCCCAUAUCAUCAAUGAGGGUGAGUUUACCUCCUAGGAGAUAUGUUAACCAUAUUGUAUUAGAUUCUUCCAUUUGUGAUAUUUACAAUUGUUUUGAGGAGGUGAUGUGUGAUACUUUGUUGGAUGAGUGUGAUG